This 253-nucleotide ribosomal RNA is filed under the name uncultured bacterium. Its description in RNAcentral is "partial 16S ribosomal RNA". It matches the Rfam family "Bacterial small subunit ribosomal RNA", at positions 524 to 776 of the family's 1533-position model. The record is from RNAcentral.
AACGUAGGGGACGAGCGUUAUCCGGAUUUACUGGGCGUAAAGCGCGUGUAGGCGGCUUGGCAAGUCCGCUGUGAAAACUCGAGGCUCAACCUCGAGAUGUCGGUGGAAACUGCCUGGCUAGAGUCCGGAAGAGGAGUGUGGAAUUCCUGGUGUAGCGGUGAAAUGCGCAGAUAUCAGGAAGAACACCUAUGGCGAAGGCAGCACUCUGGGACGGUACUGACGCUGAGACGCGAAAGCGUGGGGAGCGAACAGG